AGUCGAGGGGCAGCGGGGCGGCAGGCUUGCCUGCCGUUGCCGGCGACCGGCGCACGGGUGAGUAACACGUAUGCAACCUGCCCGUGGCAGGGGGAUAAGCGGGGGAAACCCCGUCUAAUACCGCGUAACGCGGCCUAGGGACAUCCCAAGGCCGCCAAAGGGAGCAAUCCCGGCCACGGAUGGGCAUGCGGCGCAUUAGCUAGUCGGCGGGGUAACGGCCCACCGAGGCGACGAUGCGUAGGGGUUCUGAGAGGAAGGCCCCCCACACUGGUACUGAGACACGGACCAGACUCCUACGGGAGGCAGCAGUGAGGAAUAUUGGUCAAUGGGCGCGAGCCUGAACCAGCCAAGUCGCGUGAGGGAGGACGGCCCUACGGGUUGUAAACCUCUUUUGCCGGGGAGCAACGGGCGUCACGUGUGGCGCCACUGAGAGUACCCGGAGAAAAAGCAUCGGCUAACUCCGUGCCAGCAGCCGCGGUAAUACGGAGGAUGCGAGCGUUAUCCGGAUUUAUUGGGUUUAAAGGGUGCGUAGGCGGAUCGUUAAGUCAGUGGUCAAAUUGAGGGGCUCAACCCCUUCCCGCCAUUGAAACUGGCGUUCUUGAGUGGAAGAGAAGUAUGCGGAAUGCGUGGUGUAGCGGUGAAAUGCAUAGAUAUCACACAGAACACCGAUUGCGAAGGCAUCUCACGAAUCCGCGAUUGACGCUGAUGCACGAAAGCGUGGGUAUCAAACAGGAUUAGAUACCCUGGUAGUCCACGCUGUAAACGAUGA
This 769-nucleotide ribosomal RNA is filed under the name uncultured bacterium. Its description in RNAcentral is "bacterial SSU rRNA". It matches the Rfam family "Bacterial small subunit ribosomal RNA", at positions 60 to 812 of the family's 1533-position model. The record is from RNAcentral.